RNAcentral lists this ribosomal RNA (253 nucleotides) under uncultured bacterium. RNAcentral's name for it is "partial 16S ribosomal RNA". It matches the Rfam family "Bacterial small subunit ribosomal RNA", at positions 524 to 776 of the family's 1533-position model. The record is from RNAcentral.
GACGAACCGUGCGAACGUUGUUCGGAAUCACUGGGCUUAAAGGGCGCGUAGGCGGGCUGCCGCGUCCGGGGUGAAAUCCUCCCGCUCAACGGGAGAACGGCCUCGGAUACGGGCGGCCUGGAGGGGGGUAGGGGCAGGCGGAACGCUGGGUGGAGCGGUGAAAUGCGUUGAUAUCGGAAGGAACGCCGGUGGCGAAAGCGCACUGCUGGACCUUUUCUGACGCUGAGGCGCGAAAGCCAGGGGAGCAAACGGG